RNAcentral lists this ribosomal RNA (497 nucleotides) under uncultured bacterium. RNAcentral describes it as "partial 16S ribosomal RNA". It matches the Rfam family "Bacterial small subunit ribosomal RNA", at positions 28 to 507 of the family's 1533-position model. The record is from RNAcentral.
GAUGAACGCUGGCGGCGUGCCUAAUACAUGCAAGUCGAGCGAACAGACGCGGAGCUUGCUCCUCUGACGUUAGCGGCGGAAGGGUGAGUAACACGUGGAUAACCUACCUAUAAGACUGGGAUAACUUCGGGAAACCGGAGCUAAUACCGGAUAAUAUAUUGAACCGCAUGGUUCAAUAGUGAAAGACGGUUUUGCUGUCACUUAUAGAUGGAUCCGCGCCGCAUUAGCUAGUUGGUAAGGUAACGGCUUACCAAGGCAACGAUGCGUAGCCGACCUGAGAGGGUGAUCGGCCACACUGGAACUGAGACACGGUCCAGACUCCUACGGGAGGCAGCAGUAGGGAAUCUUCCGCAAUGGGCGAAAGCUUGACGGAGCAACGCCGCGUGAGUGAUGAAGGUCUUCGGAUCGUAAACCUCUGUUAUUAGGGAAGAACAAAUGUGUAAGUAACUAUGCACGUCUUGACGGUACCUAAUCAGAAAGCCACGGCUAACUACGUG